ACUGCUCAGUAACACGUGGACAACCUGCCCUUAGGACGGGGAUAAACCCGGGAAACUGGGUAUAAUACCCGAUAGGUCUCGAUUGCUGGAAUGCAUCGAGAUUUAAAGCUCCGGCGCCUAAGGAUGGGUCUGCGGCCUAUCAGGUAGUAGUGGGUGUAGUGUACCUACUAGCCUACGACGGGUACGGGUUGUGAGAGCAAGAGCCCGGAGAUGGAUUCUGAGACACGAAUCCAGGCCCUACGGGGUGCAGCAGGCGCGAAAACUUUACAAUGCUGGCAACAGCGAUAAGGGAACCUCGAGUGCCAGGUUAUAAAUCUGGCUGUCGAGAUGCCUAAAAAGCAUUUCAUAGCAAGGGCCGGGCAAGACCGGUGCCAGCCGCCGCGGUAACACCGGCGGCUCGAGUGGUAACCGUUAUUAUUGGGUCUAAAGGGUCUGUAGCCGGCCGGAUAAGUCUCUUGAGAAAUCUGGCAGCUUAACUGUCAGGCUUUCAGGAGAUACUGUCUGGCUCGAGGCCGGGAGAGGUGAGAGGUACUUCAGGGGUAGGGGUGAAAUCUUGUAAUCCUUGAAGGACCACCAGUGGCGAAGGCGUCUCACCAGAACGGACCUGACGGCAAGGGACGAAAGCUAGGGGCACGAACCGGAUUAGAUACCCGGGUAGUCCUAGCCGUAAACGAUACUCGCUAGGUGUCGGCCACGGUGCGACCGUUGUCGGUGCCGUAGGGAAGCCGUGAAGCGAGGCACCUGGGAAGUACGGCCGCAAGGCUGAAACUUAAAGGAAUUGGCGGGGGAGCAC
RNAcentral lists this ribosomal RNA (793 nucleotides) under uncultured archaeon. RNAcentral describes it as "bacterial SSU rRNA". It matches the Rfam family "Archaeal small subunit ribosomal RNA", at positions 85 to 879 of the family's 1478-position model. The record is from RNAcentral.